AUUGAACGCUGGCGGCAUGCCUUACACAUGCAAGUCGAACGGUAACAGGGAGCUUGCUCCGCUGACGAGUGGCGAACGGGUGAGUAAUGUAUCGGAACGUACCAUUCAGUGGGGGAUAACGUAGCGAAAGUUACGCUAAUACCGCAUAUUCUGUGAGCAGGAAAGCAGGGGAUCGCAAGACCUUGCGCUGAUUGAGCGGCCGAUAUCAGAUUAGCUAGUUGGUGAGGUAAAGGCUCACCAAGGCGACGAUCUGUAGCGGGUCUGAGAGGAUGAUCCGCCACACUGGAACUGAGACACGGUCCAGACUCCUACGGGAGGCAGCAGUGGGGAAUUUUGGACAAUGGGGGCAACCCUGAUCCAGCCAUGCCGCGUGAGUGAAGAAGGCCUUCGGUUGUAAGCUCUUUCGGCCGGGAAAAUACGCAUCAGUUAAUACCUGGUGUGGAUGAUGGUACCGGAAUAAGAAGCACCGGCUAACUACGUG
Molecule: ribosomal RNA, 481 nt
Filed under: uncultured bacterium
Lineage: Bacteria
Description: bacterial SSU rRNA
Rfam family: Bacterial small subunit ribosomal RNA
Source: RNAcentral